AGUGAACGCUGGCGGUAGGCCUAACACAUGCAAGUCGAAUGGCAGCACAGUAAGAGCUUGCUCUUACGGGUGGCGAGUGGCGGACGGGUGAGGAAUACAUCGGAAUCUACUUUUUCGUGGGGGAUAACGUAGGGAAACUUACGCUAAUACCGCAUACGACCUACGGGUGAAAUCAGGGGAUCUUCGGACCUUGCGCGAUUGAAUGAGCCGAUGUCGGAUUAGCCAGUUGGCGGGGUAAAGGCCCACCAAGGCGACGAUCCGUAGCUGGUCUGAGAGGAUGAUCAGCCACACUGGAACUGAGACACGGUCCAGACUCCUACGGGAGGCAGCAGUGGGGAAUAUUGGACAAUGGGCGCAAGCCUGAUCCAGCCAUACCGCGUGGGUGAAGAAGGCCUUCGGGUUGUAAAGCCCUUUUGUUGGGAAAGAAAAGCAGCAGGUUAAUACCCCGCUGUUCUGACGGUACCCAAAGAAUAAGCACCGGCUAACUUCGUG
This 492-nucleotide ribosomal RNA is filed under the name uncultured bacterium. RNAcentral's name for it is "partial 16S ribosomal RNA". It matches the Rfam family "Bacterial small subunit ribosomal RNA", at positions 29 to 507 of the family's 1533-position model. The record is from RNAcentral.